GCUGAACCUCGGCUCGAUGCACCA
Molecule: microRNA, 24 nt
Filed under: Heligmosomoides polygyrus
Lineage: Eukaryota; Metazoa; Nematoda; Chromadorea; Rhabditida; Heligmosomidae
Description: hpo-miR-10108-3p
Source: miRBase by way of RNAcentral